CAGUCGCCGCGGGAAAACGAAGGGUGCAAGCGUUAAUCGGAAUUACUGGGCGUAAAGCGUGCGUAGGCGGCUUGGUAAGUUAGAGGUGAAAGCCCGGAGCUCAACUCCGGAAUUGCCUUUAAGACUGCCGAGCUAGCAGGUGAGAGAGGUAAGUGGAAUUCCGAGUGUAGAGGUGAAAUUCGUAGAUAUUCGGAAGAACACCAGUGGCGAAGGCGGCUUACUGGCUCAUACUGGACGCUGAGGUGCGAAAGCGUGGGGAGCAAACAGGAUUAGAUACCCCCGUAGUCCCUGUCUCUUAUAC
RNAcentral lists this ribosomal RNA (301 nucleotides) under uncultured bacterium. Its description in RNAcentral is "partial 16S ribosomal RNA". It matches the Rfam family "Bacterial small subunit ribosomal RNA", at positions 509 to 807 of the family's 1533-position model. The record is from RNAcentral.